This 253-nucleotide ribosomal RNA is filed under the name uncultured bacterium. RNAcentral's name for it is "partial 16S ribosomal RNA". It matches the Rfam family "Bacterial small subunit ribosomal RNA", at positions 524 to 776 of the family's 1533-position model. The record is from RNAcentral.
UACGGAGGGGGUUAGCGUUGUUCGGAAUUACUGGGCGUAAAGCGCACGUAGGCGGACUAUUAAGUCAGGGGUGAAAUCCCGGGGCUCAACCCCGGAACUGCCCUUGAUACUGGCAGUCUAGAGUUCGAGAGAGGUGAGCGGAAUUCCGAGUGUAGAGGUGAAAUUCGUAGAUAUUCGGAGGAACACCAGUUGCGAAGGCGGCUCACUGGCUCGAUUCUUACUCUGAGGUGCCAAAGUGUGGGGAGUAAACAGG